GACGGGGGGGGCAAGUGUUCUUCGGAAUUACUGGGCGUAAAGGGCUCGUAGGCGGCCAACUAAGUCCGACGUGAAAUCCCAAGGCUUAACCUUGGAACUGCGUCGGAUACUGGAUGGCUUGAAUUCGGGAGAGGGAUGCAGAAUUCCAGGUGUAGCGGUGAAAUGCGUAGAUAUCGUAAGGAAGACCAGUGGCGAAGGCGGGUCUCUGGACAGUUCCUGACGCUGAGGCACGAAGGCCAGGGGAGCAAACGGG
Molecule: ribosomal RNA, 253 nt
Filed under: uncultured bacterium
Lineage: Bacteria
Description: partial 16S ribosomal RNA
Rfam family: Bacterial small subunit ribosomal RNA
Source: RNAcentral